AUGUUCUCCAUAAAUCUCCUUCUGCUGUUGGUGGUGGCUGUUGUGCUCACACAGUCUGAGCAGUCAGUAACUGUGUCUCCAAGUGGAUCUGUUAAACUGACCUGUGCAUGUAGUGGAUUCACUCUUAGUAGCUAUAGGAUGCACUGGAUCCGUCAGGCCCCUGGAAAAGGACUGGAGUGGAUUAUUUAUUAUUAUUCAGACUCUAACAAAGGCUCAGCUCAGUCAGUGCAGGGCAGAUUCACAGCAUCUAAGGACAGCUCUAAUCUCUAUCUGCACAUGAGUCAGUUAAAGACUGAAGACACUGCAGUGUAUUACUGUGCAAGAGAUUAA
Sinocyclocheilus anshuiensis is the source of this 330-nucleotide non-coding RNA. Lineage: Eukaryota; Metazoa; Chordata; Actinopteri; Cypriniformes; Cyprinidae. The record is from the annotation of a RefSeq genome assembly.